This 621-nucleotide ribosomal RNA is filed under the name uncultured Enterococcus sp. RNAcentral's name for it is "bacterial SSU rRNA". It matches the Rfam family "Bacterial small subunit ribosomal RNA", at positions 33 to 617 of the family's 1533-position model. Lineage: Bacteria; Bacillati; Bacillota; Bacilli; Lactobacillales; Enterococcaceae. The record is from RNAcentral.
ACGCUGGCGGCGUGCCUAAUACAUGCAAGUCGAACGCUUCUUUUUCCACCGGAGCUUGCUCCACCGGAAAAAGAGGAGUGGCGAACGGGUGAGUAACACGUGGGUAACCUGCCCAUCAGAAGGGGAUAACACUUGGAAACAGGUGCUAAUACCGUAUAACAAUCAAAACCGCAUGGUUUUGAUUUGAAAGGCGCUUUCGGGUGUCGCUGAUGGAUGGACCCGCGGUGCAUUAGCUAGUUGGUGAGGUAACGGCUCACCAAGGCCACGAUGCAUAGCCGACCUGAGAGGGUGAUCGGCCACAUUGGGACUGAGACACGGCCCAAACUCCUACGGGAGGCAGCAGUAGGGAAUCUUCGGCAAUGGACGAAAGUCUGACCGAGCAACGCCGCGUGAGUGAAGAAGGUUUUCGGAUCGUAAAACUCUGUUGUUAGAGAAGAACAAGGAUGAGAGUAACUGUUCAUCCCUUGACGGUAUCUAACCAGAAAGCCACGGCUAACUACGUGCCAGCAGCCGCGGUAAUACGUAGGUGGCAAGCGUUGUCCGGGAUUUAUUGGGGCGUAAAGCGAGCGCAGGCGGUUUUCUUUAAGUUCUGAUGUGAAAAGCCCCCCGGCUUCAACCGGG